This 831-nucleotide unclassified non-coding RNA is filed under the name Amphimedon queenslandica. RNAcentral describes it as "bridging integrator 3-like, transcript variant X3". The record is from RNAcentral. Lineage: Eukaryota; Metazoa; Porifera; Demospongiae; Haplosclerida; Niphatidae.
AAUUAUGACGUUGCAUCACUGUAAACAAACCCACCCAGUACAAUGGCUGAAUCGGCAGUAGGUGAUAAAAUGUCAAGGACAUAGUGUCAACGAUAGAGAGCAUUUAACUUUUAGUAAGCGCAUCAUACUAGAAAUACCAGCAACUGGUGCAAUGAUUAGGAAUCCAUUUAAGAAAGCUUUCUCAAGUCGGAAAACAAAACAGGAAGAUGUACAAUUUGAGGCAGAAGUCCAAAAGCUUCACCAUAUGCAGUCGGCAUCUAAGAGGCUGUACAAAGGAAUGACAAAAUGUCUGGAAUCUGAAUCAGCUCAAGCACGUGCAAAUGCUAAGAUAUUCAGUGACCUUCAUUCUUCGCCCUCUUCAAAAACAGAGCCACUCAAAUCUAUUGUGGAUAGUGCUGGGAGCUGUUUUGAUGAGCUACAGUCACACAGCAAAGAACAUAAAUCAAGACAAGAGAUAGUAUUCUCUGACCCUAUUAAAAGAUUCCAUAAUGUUUAUAAGCAUAUUGAUGUACAUAUAAAGCAAAGGGACGCUAGGCUACAGGAGCUAGAGAGACAGCAAGGUAAACUAGAGAAAAGACAGGCAUCACAGUCUGCUAAACUGGAGCUGUAUCAUUUUUAUAGACACAACGCAAAUUAUCGUCGGCAAAAUCAGAAUUUGAGAAGAUUAACAGUCAACUAAUGACAGAGCUACCACAACUGCAUGAAAAGAGAGUUGAUGUAUUUGAUCCUUGUCUUAAAGCAAUGAUGUCUUCAGAGUUACUAUAUCAUCAAAACUGUGCCAAUACUCUAAGAGAUUGUCUCGAAAGCAUAAAAUCACAGUUGGCAACUCCA